GCAACUUCUUCAUAUAAUACUUGGAAUUACGGGAUAGAUUGAUCUUCUUCCUCCUUUUCUCUGGUAUCAUAUCAAUUGAACAUUCUGAGAAGCCACGAGCCACGCCUCUUGAACCAGUCUGCUGCACGGGUUGUAAGCAGAAAGAGCAUUUCCAAAUUUAGGGAGGAGGCUUUCUUCUCAAUGAAAUCAAGCAAUUUGUCUCCCUGUCCUUGUCCACGGCACUCAGGAGACACUGCAAUAGCCGCAACUUCUCCACAUUUCUCCUCAAAGAAAGGGAAAAGGGCAGCACAAGCAAUGAUUUGACCUUCUCUUUCCACAACAACAAAUGAAUCCAAAGUUUUAAGCAGCUCUUCAUCAGUCCGUUGCACCAAUACACCAGAAUCUUCUAAAGGUUGUACGAUUCGUUUUAUUCCUGAGAGAUCUGUCACCAUUGCCAUCCGGGUUCCUUCAUAAACAUCACUAGCCACCAUUGUCCCCAUCCCAUCUCUUUUAAAAAGUUCCAACAAUAGAACCCCACCGAUUGUCCCAUCUAAAAGAUGUACUCUUUGAACACCUCCUUUACAAACAAAAGCUGCUGCAGCCAAUUCUGAAAGGUACCCAUUUGAUCGACUUUGCCGUUCAUGACCUCCAAUGGCAAAACCUUGUUCCCCAGAAAACCCAUUCCCAUUGUCAAAGCCAACACCAUUCUGGAAGGUAGCACUAUGCCUUCCACUAAGAGGCUUACCAUUCUGUGACAAAAGGGAAACUCUAACAGAAUCAUUGUGUUCGAAAGAAGAAAAAUCUUCUUUGCCAACAGCUUUCACAUAGUGAGCUGCUAUCUCACUUUGCUUAGCUCGCUUACGAAUCAACAUAUCUGCUUCGUCAAUAGCCAAGAAGCGAAUAAGGUGUCCACUCUCAUCAAGAAUUGGACCAUCUACAAUGCAUAAAAGCUUAUCUGCCUCAAUAGCCAGGGCACAUGCUGUAGCAACUUCAUACGUGUUGCAAUUUAGAACUUCUCCAGAGCUAGAAUAGCCCAGGUUGCUCAAUAGAACUAUAGAACCACCAUCAAGCCUUUCACGCAUGCGAGUAACAUCUACUUUCUUUACUUCACCAGUU
RNAcentral lists this unclassified non-coding RNA (1095 nucleotides) under Hevea brasiliensis (rubber tree). The record is from RNAcentral. Lineage: Eukaryota; Viridiplantae; Streptophyta; Magnoliopsida; Malpighiales; Euphorbiaceae.